GACGAACGCUGGCGGCGUGCUUAACACAUGCAAGUCGAACGGAAAGGCCCUGCUUUUGUGGGGUGCUUGAGUGGCGAACGGGUGAGUAACACGUGAGUAACCUGCCCUUGACUUUGGGAUAACUUCAGGAAACUGGGGCUAAUACCGGAUAGGAGCUCCUGCUGCAUGGUGGGGGGUGGAAAGUUUCGGCGGUUGGGGAUGGACUCGCGGCUUAUCAGCUUGUUGGUGGGGUAGUGGCUUACCAAGGCUUUGACGGGUAGCCGGCCGGAGAGGGUGACCGGCCACAUUGGGAGGGAGAUACGCCCGAGACUACUACGGGAGGGAGCAGUGGGGAAGAAUGCACACUGGGCGGAAGAAGCAUGCAGCAACGACGCGUGCGGGAUGAAGGACUUCGGGUGGUAAACCACUUUCGCUUGUGACGAAGCGUGAAUGACGGUAAUGGGUGAAGAAGCACCGGCUAACUACGUG
Molecule: ribosomal RNA, 468 nt
Filed under: uncultured bacterium
Lineage: Bacteria
Description: partial 16S ribosomal RNA
Rfam family: Bacterial small subunit ribosomal RNA
Source: RNAcentral